Molecule: ribosomal RNA, 173 nt
Filed under: Escherichia coli
Lineage: Bacteria; Pseudomonadati; Pseudomonadota; Gammaproteobacteria; Enterobacterales; Enterobacteriaceae
Description: partial 16S ribosomal RNA
Rfam family: Bacterial small subunit ribosomal RNA
Source: RNAcentral
UUAAUUGAAGAGUUUGAUCAUGGCUCAGAUUGAACGCUGGCGGCAGGCCUAACACAUGCAAGUCGAGCGGUAACAGGAGAAAGCUUGCUUUCUUGCUGACGAGCGGCGGACGGGUGAGUAAUGUAUGGGGAUCUGCCCGAUGGAGGGGGAUAACUACUGGAAACGGUGGCUAA